RNAcentral lists this unclassified non-coding RNA (510 nucleotides) under Hevea brasiliensis (rubber tree). Lineage: Eukaryota; Viridiplantae; Streptophyta; Magnoliopsida; Malpighiales; Euphorbiaceae. The record is from RNAcentral.
AAUGCAUCACUCCAGUUGCAAUCAUGACAAGUGCAGCAAAAAGCAAUCAUGAGCAUGUCACCACACUCUGUGAGGAACUCUGCUGGUUCGGAAGGGGAAGAUCAAAGUUCAAACUUUUCGAGCAGCCUCUUGUUCCAGCUGUUAGUGCAGAAGAUGGGCAGUGGUUGGCUGGUAGAGCAUUCAAACCUGUAUGCAAGCCAGGUGGUCAUGGGGUGAUCUGGAAACUUGCUUAUAGUGAAGGUGUUUUCCAGUGGUUUCACGAUCACGGAAGACGAGGUGCAACCGUGCGACAAGUCAGUAAUGUUGUGGCAGCGACAGAUGUGACUCUUUUGGCUUUAGCUGGAAUUGGUUUGCGUCAAGGAAAGAAACUGGGCUUUGCUUCGUGUAAGCGAAAUGCUGGUGCUACUGAAGGCAUAAAUGUUCUAAUUGAGAAGAAGAAUCUUGAGGGGAAAUGGACUUGUGGUAUAUCCUGCAUAGAAUAUACUGAGUUUGACAAGUUUGGGAUGACAG